AGAACCUGAACCAAAAGAUGGGAUACCAGUUGGCAUAUACUUGUUUACUGAAGAAAAUUGUGCUUGCCCUCCAAGCAUUACAUAGAUUAAGAAAGGCAUUUCCUCAACACUCUCCAAACAGUUGGCUUUGGAAUUCCCAGGUCAUGACUGGCACAAGACAUUUACUUUUGUGGACUUCUGAGGAAUGUUUCCAUGAGCUGUUCAAACAGUUCCUGAGACGUCAAUCUGAUUUUGUUUUUAAAAAAGACUUCCUGUUUCCUUAAAGUUAUAUUCUCGCUCCUAAAUGGAUUGUCUGAUGUCAAGCACCAGCAGAUGUCUACAGUGUCGGCCAUCAUUGCACAACUGGCACGUAGAUGUAACAGUCACUCUGUGUCCACUAUUGUGAAGUGUGGCCACCAGGGGGAGACACCACGGGCAAGUGGUCACACACGGUAGCUGUGCAGACACCUUCCAGUGCCACCUGUGAGAUGCUGUCUAUGUAUGCAACUGCCACCUGGUGGUCGCCUUCAGUCUGCUCUCGCUCUUAGU
Molecule: long non-coding RNA, 528 nt
Organism: Schistocerca americana (American grasshopper)
Lineage: Eukaryota; Metazoa; Arthropoda; Insecta; Orthoptera; Acrididae
Exons: 3
Source: RefSeq, a predicted model, not a curated record